Long non-coding RNA from Amblyraja radiata (thorny skate), 785 nucleotides. RefSeq lists it as uncharacterized. The transcript is spliced from 5 exons. The record is from RefSeq and is a predicted model, not a curated record. NCBI's taxonomy places the organism in Eukaryota, Metazoa, Chordata, Chondrichthyes, Rajiformes, Rajidae.
AUUGGGCCGGACCUGAUUAUGUAUCAAUUUUAACUUCCUCAUCUCAAAGUGGAGCCAGACUGAAAAGGUUUAGGGCAGAUCUGCCGAUGCUGGGGUGACUUUGCAUAAAUAAUAAUGUACUUCAAACAUCUGGUGAUUUCCAUCCUGUUCGCUUCUGCUGAUGCAUUCGCUUGUGAACCAGCCAUAGAUGUAGAGAUCGGCAAGGAUGUCACCUUCAAUUGUACGUUGAGUGCGACAAUCCAUGUGUACCGAGGGUGAGGUGGGAGAAGCAUCAAGUUGCCGGAAUCUUGUACGAGUACAAGGAAGAUAAAAGUGAUGUCAGCAAACAACAUGUCAACUACUCAGGAAGAAUUGAAGUCGACACAUUCUCAUUUAAAGAAGGAAAAGCAUUCCUUACAUUGAAGAAUGUCGAAAUCUGGGAUGAGGGAAAGUACAGUGUCAGUAUUAGCACUGACAAUGGAUAUGGAACUAAAUUUGUCCAGCUAUCUGUUUGGGCUGUUGCUGAUCCUAUCCGAGUUAUCACAAAUUCCAAAAUGGACAUACUCUCUUGCCAGUCGUCAGGGUGGUAUCCUGCCCCAACGGUGGAGUGGAAGGACACAUCGGGGAACCAUUUAAACAAACACAGUGAAAUAAUCAUGAAAGAAAGCAAUGGCUAUUUCAACGUGACCCACAAUCUGAAAGUAUUUGACGAACAGAAUCAGUACAUCUGCUCAAUGUGGCAUAAGUGGAUGAAAAAACAGACUCGAGCGGUUUUCUCGGAUGGAAAUCGCUUAAUCCACGUGGAU